Non-coding RNA from Teladorsagia circumcincta, 68 nucleotides. The record is from the annotation of a GenBank genome assembly. NCBI's taxonomy places the organism in Eukaryota, Metazoa, Nematoda, Chromadorea, Rhabditida, Trichostrongylidae.
GCCACGUUAGGUCAGUUGGUAGGGCGUUAGACUUUUCACGGUCAGGGGUUCGAGUCCCCUACGGGGCC